RNAcentral lists this ribosomal RNA (610 nucleotides) under uncultured Roseicyclus sp. Its description in RNAcentral is "bacterial SSU rRNA". It matches the Rfam family "Bacterial small subunit ribosomal RNA", at positions 9 to 666 of the family's 1533-position model. Lineage: Bacteria; Pseudomonadati; Pseudomonadota; Alphaproteobacteria; Rhodobacterales; Roseobacteraceae. The record is from RNAcentral.
GAGUUUGAUCCUGGCUCAGAACGAACGCUGGCGGCAGGCCUCAUACAUGCAAGUCGAACGAGAUCUUCGGAUCUAGUGGCGGACGGGUGAGUAACGCGUGGGAACGUGCCCUUCACUACGGAAUAGUCCCGGGAAACUGGGUUUAAUGCCGUAUACGCCCUUCGGGGGAAAGAAUUUCGGUGAAGGAUCGGCCCGCGUUAGAUUAGGUAGUUGGUGCGGUAACGGCGCACCAAGCCGACGAUCUAUAGCUGGUUUGAGAGGAUGAUCAGCCACACUGGGACUGAGACACGGCCCAGACUUCUACGGAAGGCAGCAGUAGGGAAUCUUGGACAAUGGGGGCAACCCUGAUCCAGCCAUGCCGCGUGAGUGACGAAGGCCCUAGGGUCGUAAAGCUCUUUCGCUAGGGAAGAUAAUGACGGUACCUAGUAAAGAAACCCCGGCUAACUCCGUGCCAGCAGCCGCGGUAAUACGGAGGGGGUUAGCGUUGUUCGGAAUUACUGGGCGUAAAGCGCGCGUAGGCGGACUAUUAAGUCAGGGGUGAAAUCCCGGGGCUCAACCCCGGAACUGCCUUUGAUACUGGUAGUCUUGAGUUCGAGAGAGGUGAGUGGAA